AGAGUGAACGCUGGCGGCAGGCCUAACACAUGCAAGUCGAACGGCAGCACAGCAGUAGCAAUACUGUGGGUGGCGAGUGGCGGACGGGUGAGGAAUACAUCGGAAUCUACCUUGUCGUGGGGGAUAACGUAGGGAAACUUACGCUAAUACCGCAUACGAACUACGGUUGAAAGCGGCGGACCGCAAGGCGUCGCGCGAUUGGAUGAGCCGAUGUCCGAUUAGCUAGUUGGCGGGGUAAAGGCCCACCAAGGCGACGAUCGGUAGCUGGUCUGAGAGGAUGAUCAGCCACACUGGAACUGAGACACGGUCCAGACUCCUACGGGAGGCAGCAGUGGGGAAUAUUGGACAAGUGGCGCAAGCCUGAUCCAGCCAUGCCGCGUGUGUGAAGAAGGCCUUCGGUUGUAAAGCUACGUUUUUCGUACGGAAAGUAAAUUCCUAGUUCGGUUAAUACCCCGGCGGGAGUGACGGUACCGGUAAGAAUAA
RNAcentral lists this ribosomal RNA (483 nucleotides) under uncultured soil bacterium. RNAcentral describes it as "bacterial SSU rRNA". It matches the Rfam family "Bacterial small subunit ribosomal RNA", at positions 26 to 489 of the family's 1533-position model. The record is from RNAcentral.